RNAcentral lists this transfer RNA (73 nucleotides) under Ursus americanus (American black bear). It matches the Rfam family "tRNA". Rfam says of the family: Transfer RNA (tRNA) molecules are approximately 80 nucleotides in length. Their secondary structure includes four short double-helical elements and three loops (D, anti-codon, and T loops). Further hydrogen bonds mediate the characteristic L-shaped molecular structure. tRNAs have two regions of fundamental functional importance: the anti-codon, which is responsible for specific mRNA codon recognition, and the 3' end, to which the tRNAs corresponding amino acid is attached (by aminoacyl-tRNA synthetases). tRNAs cope with the degeneracy of the genetic code in two manners: having more than one tRNA (with a specific anti-codon) for a particular amino acid; and 'wobble' base-pairing, i.e. permitting non-standard base-pairing at the 3rd anti-codon position. RNAcentral also lists the same sequence under 2 other names. The record is from Rfam by way of RNAcentral. Lineage: Eukaryota; Metazoa; Chordata; Mammalia; Carnivora; Ursidae.
ACCUGCCUGGCUCAGUUGGAAGAGCAUGAAACUCUUAAUCUUGGGGCUGUGAGUUUGAGCCCCUUGUCAGGUG